RNAcentral lists this ribosomal RNA (1345 nucleotides) under uncultured bacterium. Its description in RNAcentral is "bacterial SSU rRNA". It matches the Rfam family "Bacterial small subunit ribosomal RNA", at positions 28 to 1381 of the family's 1533-position model. The record is from RNAcentral.
GAUGAACGCUAGCGGGAGGCCUAACACAUGCAAGCCGAGCGGUAUUGUUUCUUCGGAAAUGAGAGAGCGGCGUACGGGUGCGGAACACGUGUGCAACCUGCCUUUAUCUGGGGGAUAGCCUUUCGAAAGGAAGAUUAAUACUCCAUAAUAUAUUGAACGGCAUCGUUUAAUAUUGAAAGCUCCGGCGGAUAGAGAUGGGCACGCGCAAGAUUAGCUAGUUGGUGAGGUAACGGCUCACCAAGGCGAUGAUCUUUAGGGGGCCUGAGAGGGUGAUCCCCCACACUGGUACUGAGACACGGACCAGACUCCUACGGGAGGCAGCAGUGAGGAAUAUUGGUCAAUGGGUGCAAGCCUGAACCAGCCAUCCCGCGUGAAGGACGACUGCCCUAUGGGUUGUAAACUUCUUUUGUAUAGGGAUAAACCUACCCUCGUGAGGGUAGCUGAAGGUACUAUACGAAUAAGCACCGGCUAACUCCGUGCCAGCAGCCGCGGUAAUACGGAGGGUGCAAGCGUUAUCCGGAUUUAUUGGGUUUAAAGGGUCCGUAGGCGGACUUAUAAGUCAGUGGUGAAAGCCUGUCGCUUAACGAUAGAACUGCCAUUGAUACUGUAAGUCUUGAGUAUAUUUGAGGUAGCUGGAAUAAGUAGUGUAGCGGUGAAAUGCAUAGAUAUUACUUAGAACACCAAUUGCGAAGGCAGGUUACCAAGAUAUAACUGACGCUGAGGGACGAAAGCGUGGGGAACGAACAGGAUUAGAUACCCUGGUAGUCCACGCCGUAAACGAUGCUAACUCGUUUUUGGGCUUUAGGGUUCAGAGACCAGGCGAAAGUGAUAAGUUAGCCACCUGGGGAGUACGCUCGCAAGAGUGAAACUCAAAGGAAUUGACGGGGGCCCGCACAAGCGGUGGAUUAUGUGGUUUAAUUCGAUGAUACGCGAGGAACCUUACCAAGACUUAAAUGGGAAUUGACAGCUUUAGAAAUAGAGCUCUCUUCGGACAAUUUUCAAGGUGCUGCAUGGUUGUCGUCAGCUCGUGCCGUGAGGUGUUAGGUUAAGUCCUGCAACGAGCGCAACCCCUGUCACUAGUUGCCAUCAUUCAGUUGGGGACUCUAGUGAGACUGCCUACGCAAGUAGAGAGGAAGGUGGGGAUGACGUCAAAUCAUCACGGCCCUUACGUCUUGGGCCACACACGUAAUACAAUGGCCGGUACAGAGGGCAGCUACACAGCGAUGUGAUGCAAAUCUCGAAAGCCGGUCUCAGUUCGGAUUGGAGUCUGCAACUCGACUCUAUGAAGCUGGAAUCGCUAGUAAUCGCGCAUCAGCCAUGGCGCGGUGAAUACGUUCCCGGGCCU